This 1480-nucleotide ribosomal RNA is filed under the name Gobionellus microdon. RNAcentral describes it as "partial 16S ribosomal RNA". It matches the Rfam family "Bacterial large subunit ribosomal RNA", at positions 268 to 2574 of the family's 2925-position model. Lineage: Eukaryota; Metazoa; Chordata; Actinopteri; Gobiiformes; Gobiidae. The record is from RNAcentral.
UCCAACCUCCAACAAGCUAGCCCAACUCAAAGUCCAACCACCAUUAUUCAUAAACCCAAAAACCCUAUCAACAGAAGUUAAAUCAUUUUUCCACCCUAGUAUGGGAGACAGAAAAGGAUCAAGGCGCAAUAGAGAAAGUACCGCAAGGGAAAGCUGAAAGAGAAGUGAAAUAACCCAGUGAAGAAACACAAAGUAGACCUUAAUUCCCGUACCUUUUGCAUCAUGAGCUAGUUAGUACUACUUAAGCAAAGAGCCCUUUAGUUUAAGACCCCGAAUCUUAGCGAGCUACUCCAAGACAGCCCAUUAAGGGGCCAACCCGUCUCUGUUGCAAAAGAGUGGGAAGAUCUUCGAGUAGAGGUGACAGACCUACCGAGCCUAGUUAUAGCUGGUUGCCCACAAGAUGAAUAGAAGUUCAGCCUCUUUGAUUAUUUUUUCUCUAGCGGCCAAGCCACAAGACGAUAUGAAGAAUCAUUAGGGAGUUAUUCCAAGGGGGGACAGCCCCUUAGAACAAAGAUACAACUUUUAUAGCAGGUUAAAGAAUAAUAAUCUUAAAGUUAGGUAUUUUGGUGGGCCUAAAAGCAGCCAUCCAUGAAGAAAGCGUUAAAGCUCAAGUACUAGCUCCCUUAUAAUCCAAAGUAAAUUAUCUUACACCGCUCCUAAACAGUGGGCCCUCCCAUGCUCCCAUGGGAAAGAUACUGCUAGUAUGAGUAAUAAGAGGGGAAGCCCCCUCUCCCGACACCUGUGUACAUCAGAACGAACCCCCACUGAAAAUUAACGCCCCCUAAAGAAGAGGGUACUGACAGAUACCUAAAUAAACAAGAAAACCUCUCAAAAAUCAGCGUUAACCCCACACAGGCGUGUCUAAAGGAAAGACUCAAAGGAAAAGAAGGAACUCGGCAAACAAUGGCCUCGCCUGUUUACCAAAAACAUCGCCUCUUGCAACAUAAGUAUAAGAGGUCCCGCCUGCCCUGUGACUUGAUAGUUUAACGGCCGCGGUAUUUUGACCGUGCAAAGGUAGCGUAAUCACUUGUCUUUUAAAUGGAGACCUGUAUGAAUGGCAUAACGAGGGCUAAGCUGUCUCCUUUACCUGGUCAAUGAAAUUAAUCUUCCCGUGCAGAAGCGGGAAUAUGAACAUAAGACGAGAAGACCCUAUGGAGCUUCAGACAAAAGGCAGCCCACACAGAAGCGACUGAAUCAACACGACCACACUAAUGGCCCCUGCCCUCCUGUCUUUGGUUGGGGCGACCACGGAGGACCAAAAAUCCCCCACGAGGAAAGGAUGAUCUUACCCCUUAAAGCUAGAGCGACAGCUCCCACAAACAGAAUUUCUGACCAACAAGACCCGGCAUAGCCGAGCAACGGACCGAGUUACCCUAGGGAUAACAGCGCAAUCCCCUUUCAGAGCCCUUAUCGACAAGGGGGUUUACGACCUCGAUGUUGGAUCAGGACAUCCUAAUGGUGCAGCCGCUAUUAAGGGUUC